Molecule: ribosomal RNA, 1237 nt
Filed under: Gryllotalpa sp. YH-2020
Lineage: Eukaryota; Metazoa; Arthropoda; Insecta; Orthoptera; Gryllotalpidae
Description: 16S ribosomal RNA
Rfam family: Archaeal large subunit ribosomal RNA (bases 837-1170)
Source: RNAcentral
GAGAAUAUUAUUAUUUGAUUAGUAGGAUUAAUUUAAUUGAUAAAAAAAGUUAUUGUUCUGUUUUUGUAUAUUUUAGAUAAAAUUUGAUUUAUUAUAGUUUAUAGUACUGUGAUGGAAUUAUUUAGUUUGUUUUUUUUGUUAAAGGAUAUUUUAUUAGUACCUUUUGUAUCAGGGUUUAUCAAGAUUAUUUUAUGGAUUUAAGGGUCUCGAAUUAGGGAGAGUUAUUAUACAAUGAAGGUUACUGUGGAAUUUUUAUCUUUAAUUGUUUAUAGGGGUGAUAUACUAUGCGUUCUUUAAGAUAUCUAGUUUAUUGGGAUUUAAAUUUAAUUUAUAUAUAUAGGUGAUUUGAUUGUAUGAAUUUACUUUUAUAUGAAGUGUACUUGGGAUUAGCUUAGUAUAAUAUUAAAAGUUUGUAAGGAGGUAAGAUUUAUAGGCUUUAUAAUGGCAUAGAUUAAAAAAUAUAAAAAUUUAUUUAUUUUUAUGUGAUUUAUAUAAUUUUAGUGUGAUACCAAUGUAAUAAUAAGAAUGAAUAUUUUUUUGAAAUAAUGAUGAAAUUAGUAGAUUUAGUUUGUUUUGUUUAUAAUAGAUAAUAAUAUAUUAGGAAUUCGGCAAAUAUAUUAUCCGCCUGUUUAUCAAAAACAUGUCUUAAUGUCUUUUAUGUUAAGUCUGGCCUGCCUACCGAUUUAUAUUGAGGGGCCGCAGUAUAUUGACUGUGCAAAGGUAGCAUAAUCAUUAGUCUUUUAAAUGGAGGCUGGAAUGAAGGGUUUAACGAGAUAAUAACUGUCUUAUAUAUUAUAAUUGAAUUUCAUUUUUAAGUAAGAAAGCUUGAAUUAUGAUAAGGGACGAUAAGACCCUAUAGAACUUUAUAUGAGUUAUUUAAUAAAAAUAAUAAGUAUUUUACUGGGGCGGUUAGGAAAGAUUAAAACUUUUCUUAAUUUUUACAUUUUAUUUGGUUUAAUGAUCUUAUAUUAAGGAUAAAAAAAUAAGUUACCUUAGGGAUAACAGCUUAAUUUUCUUGGAGAGUUCAAAUCAAUAAGAAAUAUUGAGACCUCGAUGUUGGAUUAGGAUAACUAUGGGGCGCAGUAGCUUUUUUAGUAAGUCUGUUCGACUUUUAAAUUCCUACAUGAUCUGAGUUCAGACCGGUGUGAGCCAGGUUGGUUUCUAUCUUUAUUUUGUUUAUGUAAAUUAGUACGAAAGGGCCAUUUACAUGAAAUAUUUUUUUUUAUGGAAUAAUAUU